UUUUUUUUUUUUUUUUUGAGAAAUGUUGAUGAGAUCAGUUAGCUACUAAGAUUCUAAUUUUGAUCUGUGAAAUCUGACAAAUUUCUUUGUUUUUACUUUGAUUCUUAUCUAGAAAAGAUAACCUUUUGUUUCUGGGUUGGAUGGUUGGCCACAAAUUAUCAAGAACACAGCUGUACAGGAGUCACCCCCAGCUUGAGCAGAAGUCUAAUUUCAUUUCAAAAGAACAUUUACUAAAAACUAUGUUUGAGAGAGAACCCUUUUGCUAUACAACUUUGAAUUACCGAAAUCCACAAAUAAAGGACCAGAUUGAGUUCCCUCUGCCAUAAAGGUAGUGACAUGGAAGAUCUGUGCAUAUUAAAUUUGGCAGGUUCAAAAUAAAGGUCUGGAUUUGUGUGCAGGUGAGCUGAUCCGUUCCUCAUGUAAGCAUGGCGGGAAGAUGGAAACAUGAUUAGCUGCCAGCCUCUGAGAUGCUUUGAAGCGAGGGUUGCCAUGUUCUUGAUCUGGCUGCGGCACUGGCAGAGUUGGUAGCCGUUGCUGUUCUUGGUCUGUUUCUUUCAUUUUUGGUCACCUGAUGGUCCUCCAUUUCAGAUCUUUUUACUUCAAUAUCCAGCCCUGAAUAGUGCAUCUCCCUCAUCCUCUCUGGUUUUCCUGCUGAUUCUGACUGGGUUUUCUUCAGCUUUGCUUGUUUCUUUGCCAACAACCCAUUCAUAACCUCUUGUGCAGUGAUAAGUCUAUAAACAUGGCCAAGAACAAGGGUAUCCGUAGGCUUGAGAAGCUUAAUUCUCGUUAUCCGAAGAGAGUUGUUGUUGUUGUUGGUGGUGGUGGUGGUGGUAGUGGAGGGAUUGGAGGGGGUUGGGGGCCAUUUGAAAGAGAUGGAGAAGCGUUGUGAAGUUAGGAGGUCAUUAAGGUGAUGGGGUUGGGGAGGUAGUAGAAAGAAAUGUGAUAACUUUGUUGUGAGCAAAGGGAUGUGGGAAUUAAUAGAAGAUAAGGAAUUUGUGAAUGGCAAUACAAUGAUGGAUUUUGAUUGGCUAGAUGUGGGUGAGGCUAGAUCCUAAUCGGAUUAAAU
This 1066-nucleotide unclassified non-coding RNA is filed under the name Hevea brasiliensis (rubber tree). Lineage: Eukaryota; Viridiplantae; Streptophyta; Magnoliopsida; Malpighiales; Euphorbiaceae. The record is from RNAcentral.